AUGGGGUGCAGCAGGCGCGAAACCUCCGCAAUGCGGGCAACCGCGACGGGGGGACCCCCAGUGCCGUGGCAUCGCCACGGCUUUUCCGGAGUGUAAAAAGCUCCGGGAAUAAGGGCUGGGCAAGGCCGGUGGCAGCCGCCGCGGUAAUACCGGCGGCCCGAGUGGUGGCCGCUAUUAUUGGGCCUAAAGCGUCCGUAGCCGGGCCCGUAAGUCCCUGGCGAAAUCCCACGGCUCAACCGUGGGGCUUGCUGGGGAUACUGCGGGCCUUGGGACCGGGAGAGGCCGGGGGUACCCCUGGGGUAGGGGUGAAAUCCUAUAAUCCCAGGGGGACCGCCAGUGGCGAAGGCGCCCGGCUGGAACGGGUCCGACGGUGAGGGACGAAGGCCAGGAGAGCGAACCGGAUUAGAUACCCGGGUAGUCCUGGCUGUAAAGGAUGCGGGCUAGGUGUCGGGCGAGCUUCGAGCUCGCCCGGUGCCGAAGGGAAGCCGUUAAGCCCGCCGCCUGGGGAGUACGGCCGCAAGGCUGAAACUUAAAGGAAUUGGCGGGGGAGCAC
Molecule: ribosomal RNA, 553 nt
Filed under: uncultured euryarchaeote
Lineage: Archaea; Methanobacteriati; Methanobacteriota
Description: bacterial SSU rRNA
Rfam family: Archaeal small subunit ribosomal RNA
Source: RNAcentral